AAGCGCCUAUGACCAGACUUGGGCCCGGUGAAUCAUCCAGCGUUCUCGCUGGUGCACUUUGCCGGGCACAGGCCAGCAUCAGUUUGGCUUGGGGGAAAAAGGCUUUGGGAACGUAGCUCCUCGGAGUGUUAUAGACCAUUGCAUAAUA
RNAcentral lists this ribosomal RNA (148 nucleotides) under Leptobacillium leptobactrum var. calidius. RNAcentral's name for it is "partial large subunit ribosomal RNA". The record is from RNAcentral. Lineage: Eukaryota; Fungi; Ascomycota; Sordariomycetes; Hypocreales; Cordycipitaceae.